Molecule: ribosomal RNA, 776 nt
Filed under: uncultured Neocallimastigales
Lineage: Eukaryota; Fungi; Neocallimastigomycota; Neocallimastigomycetes; Neocallimastigales
Description: partial large subunit ribosomal RNA
Rfam family: Eukaryotic large subunit ribosomal RNA
Source: RNAcentral
CGUCUAUAUACGUAUAGCAUAUCAAUAAGCGGAGGAAAAGAAACUAACUAGGAUUCCCUCAGUAACGGCGAGUGAAGCGGGAAGAGCUCAAAUUUGAAAUCUUCAAGGUUCUACCUUGACGAAUUGUAGUUUAAAGAAGUGUUUUCUGUUGGAGUUUUGGUAAAAGUUCUUUGGAAUAGGACAUCAUAGAGGGUGAGAAUCCCGUAUUUGACCAUUAUUUCCCAACUUUGUGAUACACUUUCAAAGAGUCGGAUUGUUUGGGAAUGCAGUCCAAAAUGGGUGGUAAAUUUCAUCUAAGGCUAAAUACUGGCGAGAGACCGAUAGCGAACAAGUACCGUGAGGGAAAGAUGAAAAGAACUUUGAAAAGAGAGUUAAACAGUACGUGAAAUUGUCAAAAGGGAAGCGUUUGACACCAGUGUUGUUUUCUCGAAAAUCAAUUAAAAAAGAUUGGAUUUUGUGUUGUAUUGACUUUAUCAGCUUUCUGCACUCUUUUCUUGUCCUUUUUAAUGCACUUUUCGUUUAACAAGUCAACAUCAAUUUCUUUUGCUGUAAAAGGGUCAUUGGAAGGUGGCUUUCUUUUCGGAGAAAGUGUUUAUAGCCAUUUGACUUCUGCAAUCGGAGAGAUUGAGGUCUGCAGCGUAGAUCCUUCGGGGUUAGAUACAUUUGUGCUAAGUUAUAGCCUUUCAUAGACAACUUGUUGACUAUGAUCAGUCAUGUAGCUUACUCGCUUAUGCUAUUUUACCUACGCUUAGGAUGUUGACGAUCAGCUGAGCGCG